Non-coding RNA from Entelurus aequoreus (snake pipefish), 1936 nucleotides. The record is from the annotation of a RefSeq genome assembly. NCBI's taxonomy places the organism in Eukaryota, Metazoa, Chordata, Actinopteri, Syngnathiformes, Syngnathidae.
AUGCGUGCUGGACUGGUCCUAGUCCUGCUGACACGUCUAGUCGGGACCGUGAGAUUUCAGCCUCCUGCACCCAAAGUGGUCACCAAGGAGUCUCGGGUGGAUUUCCACUGCAGUCACGACGACGGCCGGCAGGACGUGAUGCUGUGGUACCACCAGGGCGGAGGCGGGCGCCCCAUCACCGUAGUAGGCUCCAGCUAUGUGGGCAACAAGCCUCAGCACGGCCGGCGCUUCAGCAUCACCAGAGAGGCCACGCAGAGAGGAGUUCUCAGCAUUCACAGAGUCGCUGCGUCGGAUGCAGAACCGGGCCAAGGUGUCAGGCCGCCUGCAGUCACCUUGCUCCCGCCCUCUCCCGAGGAGGACUCCGACCACAGGAACAAGGAGAAGAGGACCAAGACUCUGGUCUGCGUGGUCACUGGCUUCUUCCCCGACCACGUGGGUGUCUCGUGGCAGAUCGACGGCGGCGGCGUCACCAGUGGCGUGGCGACGGACGCCGAGGCCCUGCGGGACCACGCCCACUACAGGACCAGCAGCAGGCUGAGGGUGGAUGCGGACACCUGGUUCACACCUGGCAGAGCCUUCGAGUGCACCGUCACUUUCUUUGACGGGAACCGGACCAGCUCUCAUUCGGACACGGUUUACGGCACCGAGGACACGAUGACCAGAGAGGACUACUUGAGGAUGUGUCACAGUGCCAAGAUGUCCUACAUGGUCCUCCUGGUCAAGAGCAACAUCUACUCACUUCUUCUCCUCGUCCUACUGUGGAAGCACCAGGCAGAAAGAAGGCGGAGUCUCAUGCAGUGACAGACAGAGAUGUGGGCGUGGCUUUGCAGCUGAGAGGCAUCGGAUUGGUGGAAUAUUGACAUCCUAUGAAUAUUCAUCGUUACACUUGGAGAGAGAUUUAGUGCACACAGUUUAGAUUUAUAAAUUGAAGAUUUAGAUAUAGAUUUAACAUUUUAAGUUUAGAUUUGGAUUCAACAUUUAACAUUUAACGCUCACAUUCAGAUUCAAGAGAUAGAUUUAAAAUCUAGGUUUAGAUUAUAGGUUCACAGACGGACCAGACCUCGGCACCUAGUCCCUCUCUGGUACUGUUUGUACCAGGUUACCCUCUUAGCUCACAGACAUGUUUAUUUGACAUGAAAUAAGGUGUGUACUGUUUGUACCAGGUUACCCUCUUAGCUCACGGACAUGUUUAUUUGACAUGAAAUAAGGUGUGUACUGUUUGUACCAGGUUACCCUCUUAGCUCACGGACAUGUUUAUUUGACAUGAAAUAAGGUGUGUACUGUUUGUACCAGGUUACCCUCUUAGCUCACAGACACAUGUUUAUUUGACAUGAAGUAAGGAGUUGGGGUUCCCCAAGGCUCAAUUUUAGGUCCCAUUAUUUUUGACUUUUAUAUUCAUAUUACGAGGAGACCGUCAAUGAAUAUAAUCUUUCCAAAUGCUCUCUGAAACCCUGCGUGUACUAAAACAUGUGCCAAAGUUGAUGUACUAAGCUGGUGAGUUGAUGUACUAAGCUGGUGAGUUGAUGUACUAAACUGGUGAGUUGAUGUACUAAGCUGGUGAGUUGAUGUACUAAGCUGGUGAGUUGAUGUACUAAGCUGGUGGGUUGAUGUACUAAGCUGGUGAGUUGAUGUACUAAGCUGGUGAGUUGAUGUACUAAGCUGGUGAGUUGAUGUACUAAGCUGGUGGGCAGAGGAUGGCGUCUCUUUAGUGAGCAGAAAUACAGAACAUGUUUGUCCUGCUUGUCUGUAGAACACAUGCAGAUUAUUAGCAAGGUAAAGAAAAGGUACAUCAAUAAUCAGUAUAUAUGAUCAAUACACCAGCGAUUAGAGUAGAUUAGUGAUUCUGGUACGCAGGCUCCAUCUAGUGGCGCACCAAAGAAUCACUUGGCUAAAGUACAGUGUUUUGUUUUCCCAUAUUCAUUCCAGCUGUGUGUAA